Molecule: long non-coding RNA, 225 nt
Filed under: Phoenix dactylifera (date palm)
Lineage: Eukaryota; Viridiplantae; Streptophyta; Magnoliopsida; Arecales; Arecaceae
Description: long non-coding RNA (PDAC_LNC012138)
Source: RNAcentral
AGAAUUAUUUACCUCUUACCAUAUUUUAAAUUUAUUUCAAUGUUUAUUCAAUUUUAUGGUAAAGUAUGUAUUUAUUAGUUUAAGAACAUUGAUAAGUGCUAUGAAAAGAUAACUAAAUUAUAAAUUAUUCAGCACUUAUCACACCCCCAAACCUAUAUUUUGCUAGUCCUCGAGCAAAAUAAAACUAGAAAAAAAGAAUUUUAACUCACUUUCGCAGGCAUCGCG